RNAcentral lists this small nuclear RNA (18 nucleotides) under Arabidopsis thaliana (thale cress). RNAcentral's name for it is "snRNA_12839". The record is from RNAcentral. Lineage: Eukaryota; Viridiplantae; Streptophyta; Magnoliopsida; Brassicales; Brassicaceae.
AGGCUCCCAAAGGCACGU